CUAUAGUCGAAAGUGCUGAUCGAACGAAUUUUCAUUUGGUAUUAUGGUGCUCAUUCGUUGAAGAAUAGGACUAUUGUGAAUUUCGAUCGCUCGAUGCAUUUACAAUAGAAAAUUUUUCUCAGCUGAUACAGCAAAUCAAAAUAAAAGAAAAACCGAUUGUGUUGAAAUUCUUUGCUAACAACAAUUUUAAAAGUUAAAAAAAAGUAUUUUUUGUGAAAAUGGAGUACAACGGAGUUGUGGUUCGACGAUUCAACGCUCGAUGAAAGAUUAGUGGAACUAGCUAGAUGUAGAAAACAGCUGAGGGGCGCAUCCAACCCCCUUGAAAUGGCUUCCACUGAUUUUUUAAAGAACUUUAGAUUAUCUAAAGAGCCGUUUAUGAACCUACUGUCCAGUACAAAAAACCAGUUGCAGCAGUGCACCCGAGCCAAGAGCUCUUCACUAUUCUCCAAAAAAAGCAAAACAAAUUAUUAAUGUGUGUGCAGCUUUGCACAACAUUUGCUUGUUUUAUAAUGUUCAACUUCCGGAUGAAGAGUUAUCCGAUGAGACCCUCAACGAUGAUGCGGAAGAUAUUGAAGUGGAGCCAAAUAACGGAGAAGCAGAAAACAUAGCAGCAAAAAUCUAAAAAGUAUUAAAUAGAAACCUUUACGCCACAGUUUCUGUUUUAUUUUUGUUAUAAAUUUUCUUUAUUCAAUUAUUCGUCAUUCGAAAAAAAUAUGUAUUUCAGUUCCUCUACGUAUUUCAGCCCAUACCUGCCAAGGGAAAAUAAAAAUGUAUUUCUAUAAACAUUACAAAAAAAAACAUUAUUAACCUUAAUCCAUUUUGCUGCCGUUCUAACUGGUGGUCCCAAGCAAUUCAGCUCCGUUGUAAAUUCCUCGCAAAAUAUUAACAUAUAUUAACAUAUUCCUGCAUAAUAUUAACAAAAUUAGUAUAUAUUUAUUAUUUGGUUACUAUAAAACAAUAAAUAAUCGCAAACAACUUACAUUUUAACAAGUUUUCCCACAACACGCUACACAAUCGAAAGCAAAAUUGCAUUCGACUCUAAAUUCGGUAUACAACGAAAAUUUCGACAGCGUUGCACCGCUCAUAAUACCAAAUUGACAUUCGAUUUUCGAUCUUCGACAACCAACGAAUAUCGAAGAUCGAAUGCAACUCAUAAUAGGGGCCUUAAGUUUCUACGAAAAACAGUCUACGAUGAAUUGGAUGAUAGGGUUGAAUAAAGUCUUUCAUGCUUGCUGUUCGAACAUUGACGAAUUCUCGGAAAAUAGUCUAAAAUCAGUUUUUGUGCAGGAAAAUACCGAUGCUGCGCGCGAAAUGAUUGAGCAAAAUUAUCUAGCCACAUAACGUGAAAUUGAGGCUUCCUUGGGCAUUAGUAUGACGAGCAGCAAUGCUUACCUGGUGGUAGAAAAGGUGUGCUCACGUUGUGUACCACUGAAUCGGCAAAAAGCACCGGAAACGCGACUGAACGAAGUGCUUCGAAAAUUGGUUCAAACCAAUGCAAAGGCCAGAAAUAUAAAUCCAGCCCUCGUAUCAAACACUCAUCAAUAAGAAAUUUUUUAUUCGAAAAUUACAUAAAAGUACAUUUUACACAA
Molecule: long non-coding RNA, 1589 nt
Organism: Anastrepha ludens (Mexican fruit fly)
Lineage: Eukaryota; Metazoa; Arthropoda; Insecta; Diptera; Tephritidae
Exons: 3
Source: RefSeq, a predicted model, not a curated record